GUGGGGAAUAUUGGGCAAUGGGCGCAAGCCUGACCCAGCAACGCCGCGUGAAGGAAGAAGGCUUUCGGGUUGUAAACUUCUUUUACCAGGGACGAAACAAAUGACGGUACCUGGUGAAUAAGCCACGGCUAACUACGUGCCAGCAGCCGCGGUAAUACGUAGGUGGCGAGCGUUAUCCGGAUUUAUUGGGUGUAAAGGGCGUGUAGGCGGGACAGCAAGUCAGAUGUGAAAACCAGAGGCUCAACCUCUGGCCUGCAUUUGAAACUGUUGUUCUUGAGUGUCGGAGAGGUAAUCGGAAUUCCGUGUGUAGCGGUGAAAUGCGUAGAUAUACGGAGGAACACCAGUGGCGAAGGCGGAUUACUGGACGAUAACUGACACUGAAGCACGAAAGCGUGGGGAUCAAACAGGAUUAGAUACCCGUGUAGUCC
This 428-nucleotide ribosomal RNA is filed under the name uncultured bacterium. Its description in RNAcentral is "partial 16S ribosomal RNA". It matches the Rfam family "Bacterial small subunit ribosomal RNA", at positions 354 to 796 of the family's 1533-position model. The record is from RNAcentral.